Molecule: transfer-messenger RNA, 412 nt
Filed under: Patescibacteria group
Lineage: Bacteria
Also listed under: 3 other names
Description: CG1-02-37-22 sp002785215 Standard tmRNA
Rfam family: transfer-messenger RNA
About the family: Bacterial tmRNA, also known as 10Sa RNA or SsrA, is named for its dual tRNA and mRNA-like properties.
Source: RNAcentral
GGGGAUGAUUACGAUCGACGGGAAAGCUCUUUAAAAACUGCAAGCCGACUUGGUAUGUAGUCGUAAAAGAAGUACCAAACAUUAAGUGCUGAUAAUGAUUCACGCACAACCGAAGAGAUUGCAGCCAGCGUAAAAGCGAAGCUUGCCAAUCUUUUUGGUGCCCGUGACGUUGUAUACGCAACUGUCUAAGGCCAUCUGCAAAUAUCUUUCUCCUGAUGGGAUAUUGCAGGUGUAAACACAGUCGGGAUGCUGUCAAUAUCAUGAAUAAAUAUUGACUCAAGACUUUUUCUUACUUUCUUAAUUGAUCGUUCACUGGGAUAUUAAGAAAGGACAUCUUUACAGUGAACUAAGCUUGUAGAAGUUUUCAAAGAAUUUUUUUCGGACUCCGCCUCACAGGCGGACAUCUCCACCA